GGAAUGUGGCUCAAGUGGUAGCGCGCUCACCUGGCAUGUACGUGGUGCUGGGUUCGAUCCUCAGCACCA
RNAcentral lists this transfer RNA (69 nucleotides) under Marmota monax (woodchuck). RNAcentral's name for it is "tRNA.Ala". The record is from RNAcentral. Lineage: Eukaryota; Metazoa; Chordata; Mammalia; Rodentia; Sciuridae.